Molecule: ribosomal RNA, 375 nt
Filed under: uncultured organism
Description: partial 16S ribosomal RNA
Rfam family: Bacterial small subunit ribosomal RNA
Source: RNAcentral
GUAGGGUGCGAGCGUUAAUCGGAAUUACUGGGGCGUAAAGCGUGCGCAGGCGGUUGUGCAAGACAGAUGUGAAAUCCCCCGGGGCUCAACCUGGGGAAUUGCAUUUGUGACUGUACGGCUAGAGUGUGUCAGAGGGGGGUAGAAUUCCACGUGUAGCAGUGAAAUGCGUAGAGAUGUGGAGGAAUACCGAUGGCGAAGGCAGCCCCCUGGGAUAACACUGACGCUCAUGCACGAAAGCGUGGGGAGCAAACAGGAUUAGAUACCCUGGUAGUCCACGCCCUAAACGAUGUCAACUAGUUGUCGGGUCUUAAUUGACUUGGUAACGCAGCUAACGCGUGAAGCUGACCGCCUGGGGAGUACGGUCGCAAAGAUUAA